GAAAACUCGUGUUGGGAUAAUUGCUUAAUGAAUCACACUGGUUUUGAUUUACCUUACAAUAUAUAAACCAUUGUAUAAAAUAACAAAAACAACUAAGCAAGCUGAAAAUCUUACUAGAAAAUUUUGUAGACGAUACACAACACUAAAGAGAGAUAUUUGUACAACUUUAGGGUUGAAUCAACCAAAUCGUUUCUUGAAUAAUUGAUGUCUCUUGGUUGGAUCUUUAGGCUUGUUUUUGAUAAGCCCCUUCUUUCCAGAGUUGUACUCCAUAUAAACCAUCCCUUUAGCUCCUGACAUGGCACUCAUAGAACCCACAUAGCGACGGGCUUUUUGAAGAGCUACGUCAUCUGCAUCUUCAUCUAGUUGCUCCAAACCUACUGCAUCAUCGCCAGCACUCAGUACCUUUCCAAGAAGUUGAAGCUGUUCAUCAAGACGAUGGUAAGACAACUCGGACCCAGAAUCAGAAGGUGGUAAACUUGUGAUCACCUUAAAGCUAUAACCUUGAUCGAUCAAGAACUGCUGUCUUUUGGUUGAGUAAUACAUUUCCUGGGUAUCUGUUGACACGAGAGAGUAAAAGAAUGCAUUAUACUCCUCUUUACCUCCUGCCAUCCUAUCUUGAUGCUUUCCCUUGGCCCUGAGAAUACGCCCUAGACGCUGAGCUUCCUGCCUUCUUGAACCAGCGUGUGACGAAAUUUGUAUGAUAACAUUCGCCUCAGGAAUAUCGAUGGAGUUAUCACCCACCUUGGAAAGGAAUAUGGUGUUAACUUCCUUGCUAGUUUUAAAUGCCUCAAGAAUUUUUGUUCUUUCAACAUGGCUGGUAGCACCAUAGAUCAUAGGUUUCCGAAGCUUCAUUGCAUACUCGGUAAGUGCAAAAAGAUUGUCGGCGAAGACAAUGAUCUUGUCCCCACGCUGCUGUUCAUGAAAGCGGAUAAGGAACUCACAAGCCCUGAACUUGUUUGGGUUCAUCACAUAAAGUGCUUGUCGCUUCUUUGAAUUCUCUUUUUUCAAAUAUUCAGCAAAGAAUUCCUUCGUCAUAGGACACCACACCUCAGCACAUUGUACAUUUGCAAUAAAUCCCCCUUUAACUAAAUCCAACCAAUUUGCCUCAUACA
RNAcentral lists this unclassified non-coding RNA (1112 nucleotides) under Hevea brasiliensis (rubber tree). Lineage: Eukaryota; Viridiplantae; Streptophyta; Magnoliopsida; Malpighiales; Euphorbiaceae. The record is from RNAcentral.